CGCGGCUGACUCCUGCGGCCGUGUCUGUGGCCGUGCUCGCAGCCGGUCCGCGGCCUGUACCUGCGGCCGAGCCGAGGCCGGCAGCGUUCACGCUGUUGGCGACGCCCCUGGCCGCGCACGGGUAACCCCCUCCCCUUUCAUCUUCUUUGCUUUCAUUCUUUCUGUGUUAUCCUAAAUAAAUCAGGAGGAGAGAAGGCAGGGGGCUUACCUAGCUUCCGGGGGGGGAAGGUACCACGAGCAUCUUCUCCGGCGACGGAUGUGGGUUCGGCAACCCUUUCUCACAGAAAAGAGGAAGGAAGGAGGAGGGGGUACAGUGAGAGAGAGAGCCCUAGGAAUACACAACAUCAGGAUCUUUAGCUGGGGUGACGUGUCAUCCCCAGCUUCCUCCUCGUGAAGGACCUAACAGGGCCCUCCACAGCUUCCUAGCUGUCCCUACCCUAGUCACAUCCAUCCUUAGGCAUAAAGAUAACAGCAAUCAAAUGGCUGCCAAUAAUGGGCCCAAAUGCU
Molecule: long non-coding RNA, 507 nt
Filed under: Phoenix dactylifera (date palm)
Lineage: Eukaryota; Viridiplantae; Streptophyta; Magnoliopsida; Arecales; Arecaceae
Description: long non-coding RNA (PDAC_LNC022961)
Source: RNAcentral